Molecule: long non-coding RNA, 464 nt
Filed under: Mustela putorius furo (domestic ferret)
Lineage: Eukaryota; Metazoa; Chordata; Mammalia; Carnivora; Mustelidae
Description: lncRNA (ENSMPUG00000028139.1)
Source: RNAcentral
AGAGAUAGGAGGUUCUCUCCCAAGGGACUCAAGGAGCGGCUGAAGCUGAGCUCCUGGUGACAGGUCCUGGCCAGGACUUUCCCAUGACAUCAGCUUGCUUACCUCACAGAUGGCCCAGAGAGACAAAGGUGAGUGGCACGGAAGAAAGGUCUGGGAGAGCCACAGGUGCAGAGGCAGGGAGUGUGUCCUUGUGGAGUGAAGCUUGUCCUCCCUUGCUGGGAGCUCCUUCUGUAUCUGGCCCCAUAUUGGAGCCACAGAGAAUGGUUGAGAGUCAGGGCUCCGGGCUUGGAUGUUACCUGCUAUUAACCCUGGUCUGGAAGCAAAUGAAGCUCCUUCUGACGCAUGGCCAGAUCACUAGGAGCCUAAUACUACGUCACAGAGCCCACGUUAUCCCCUCACAGCAUCCCUUCAUGUGGGCAUUUUGUCCUCUCACAUCAUCACAAGAAGAAGGGACAAAGAUGUGA